RNAcentral lists this ribosomal RNA (432 nucleotides) under Corythucha morrilli. Its description in RNAcentral is "partial 16S ribosomal RNA". Lineage: Eukaryota; Metazoa; Arthropoda; Insecta; Hemiptera; Tingidae. The record is from RNAcentral.
UUUUUUUUGUUUUUAUAAAAAGUAAAACCUGCCCUAUGAUAAAAUUAAAUGGCCGCGAUUAUUAUCGUGCAAAGGUAGCAUAAUAAUUUGUCCUUUAAAUGAGGUCUAGAAUGAAAGGUUUAACGAGAAAAUAACUUUUUUAUUUUAAUUUUUUUGAAUUUUAUUUUUUAGUUAAAAAGCUAAAAUAUAAUUAUGGGACGAUAAGACCCUAUAGAAUUUUAUUUUUUAUAUAAAAAAUAAACUUUAUUUUUAUUUUUAUAUUUUAUAUUAAAAAUUUGGUUGGGGCGACUUUUAUAUUAACUAAACUAUAUUUUUAUAUUAUUCAUUAAUUUAUGAUUUAUUGAUCCUAAAAUUUAGAUUAAAAGAACAAAUUACCUUAGGGAUAACAGCGUAAUUUUCUUGGGGAGUUCUUAUUUAUAAAAAAGUUUGCGA